GACGAACGCUGGCGGCGUGCUUAACACAUGCAAGUCGUACGGUAAGGCCCUUUCGGGGGUACCCGAGUGGCGUACGGGUGAGUAACACGUGAGUAACCUGCCCACAACUUUGGGAUAACGCUAGGAAACUGGUGCUAAUACUGGAUAUGUGCUCCUGCUGCAUGGUGGGGGUUGGAAAGCUCCGGCGGUUGUGGAUGGACUCGCGGCCUAUCAGCUUGUUGGUGGGGUAGUGGCCUACCAAGGCGGCGACGGGUAGCCGGCCUGAGAGGGUGACCGGCCACAGUGGGACUGAGAUACGGCCCAGACUCCUACGGGAGGCAGCAGUGGGGAAUAUUGAACAAUGGGCGCAAGCCGGAUGCAGCACCGCCGCGUGCGGGAUGACGGUCUUGGGGUUGGAAACCGCUUGCAGCAGGGACGAAGCUUUUUGUGGCGGUACCUGCAGAAGAAGCACCGGCUAACUACGUG
This 465-nucleotide ribosomal RNA is filed under the name uncultured bacterium. RNAcentral describes it as "partial 16S ribosomal RNA". It matches the Rfam family "Bacterial small subunit ribosomal RNA", at positions 28 to 507 of the family's 1533-position model. The record is from RNAcentral.